AUACGGAGGAUGCGAGCGUUAUCCGGAUUUAUUGGGUUUAAAGGGAGCGUAGGUGGGAUAUUAAGUCAGCUGUGAAAGUUUGGGGCUCAACCUUAAAAUUGCAGUUGAUACUGGUUUCCUUGAGUACGGUACAGGUGGGCGGAAUUCGUGGUGUAGCGGUGAAAUGCUUAGAUAUCACGAAGAACUCCGAUCGCGAAGGCAGAUCACCGGGCCUGAACUGACACUGAUGCUCGAAAGUGCGGGUAUCAAACAGGAUUAGAUACCCUGGUAGUCCACACAGUAAACGAUGAAUACUCGCUGUUUGCGAUAUACAGUAAGCGGCCAAGCGAAAGCAUUAAGUAUUCCACCUGGGGAGUACGCCGGCAACGGUGAAACUCAAAUGAAUUGGCGGGG
RNAcentral lists this ribosomal RNA (393 nucleotides) under uncultured bacterium. RNAcentral's name for it is "partial 16S ribosomal RNA". It matches the Rfam family "Bacterial small subunit ribosomal RNA", at positions 523 to 918 of the family's 1533-position model. The record is from RNAcentral.